Molecule: ribosomal RNA, 468 nt
Filed under: uncultured bacterium
Lineage: Bacteria
Description: partial 16S ribosomal RNA
Rfam family: Bacterial small subunit ribosomal RNA
Source: RNAcentral
GACGAACGCUGGCGGCGUGCUUAACACAUGCAAGUCGAACGGAAAGGCCCUGCUUUUGUGGGGUGCUCGAGUGGCGAACGGGUGAGUAAAACGUGAGUAACCUGCCCCUGACUUUGGGAUAACAUCUGGAAACUGGGGCUAUUACAGGAUAGGAGCUCUUGCAGCACGGUGUUGGAUGGAAAGAUUCGGCGGUGGGGUCUAGUCUCGCGGCUUAUGAGCUGGAUGGUGGGGUAGUGGCUUACCAAGGCUUUGACGGGUAGCCGGCCUGGGAGAGUGGCCGGGCACCUUGGGACUGAGAUACGGCGCAGUCGCCUACGGGACGCAGCGGGCGGGAAUAUUGCACAGUGGGCGGACGCCUGAUGCGGCGACCCCGCGUGCGGGAUAACGGGCUUCGGGUUGUGAACCGCUUUCGACUGAGCCGAAGCCUGAGUGACGGUAAUGGGUAAGAAAGCACCGGCUAACUACGUG